UCCCAAGUGGCUCAGUGGUAAAGAAUCCGCCUGCCAAACAGGAGACCCAGGUUCGAUCCCUAGGUUGGGAA
RNAcentral lists this transfer RNA (71 nucleotides) under Ovis aries (sheep). It matches the Rfam family "tRNA". Rfam says of the family: Transfer RNA (tRNA) molecules are approximately 80 nucleotides in length. Their secondary structure includes four short double-helical elements and three loops (D, anti-codon, and T loops). Further hydrogen bonds mediate the characteristic L-shaped molecular structure. tRNAs have two regions of fundamental functional importance: the anti-codon, which is responsible for specific mRNA codon recognition, and the 3' end, to which the tRNAs corresponding amino acid is attached (by aminoacyl-tRNA synthetases). tRNAs cope with the degeneracy of the genetic code in two manners: having more than one tRNA (with a specific anti-codon) for a particular amino acid; and 'wobble' base-pairing, i.e. permitting non-standard base-pairing at the 3rd anti-codon position. The record is from Rfam by way of RNAcentral. Lineage: Eukaryota; Metazoa; Chordata; Mammalia; Artiodactyla; Bovidae.